Molecule: long non-coding RNA, 343 nt
Filed under: Linum usitatissimum (flax)
Lineage: Eukaryota; Viridiplantae; Streptophyta; Magnoliopsida; Malpighiales; Linaceae
Description: long non-coding RNA (LUSI_LNC006349)
Source: RNAcentral
ACCUUCUCCUUCCCUUUCUUUGAUGUUGCAACUCUGUGAACAAUUUUGAGAUUGUUUGCCCAAUAGACCAGCUGUGAAUUCAUGAAGAUGUACUUAUUGACAUUCACAAUUUCUCAGCUAAGUCUUCAUCAGAGAUCGUGCCUGCAGCACUCGAUCUGAAAUGAAGAGCAAGCUCUCCGCGUUCAUCCCGAUUGCUGCGACAGGCUAUCCCACGAUGACCCUUCUUCCUCUUUCCUGAAUAUGCCUCAAUUUCAUCUUCAUCCCCGCUAUUAGGCGUCUUGUCUUGAAACACCUCUUGUCCCCACCUUUCCUUCGCAACCUUCCUUUCCAUGGGGUCGGGAAA